GGUUAUGAUCAGUUGAGGACUCUCUGAUGCAGGUUAUGAUCAGUUGAGGACUCUCUGAUGCAGGUUAUGAUCAGUUGAGGACUCUCUGAUGCAGGUUAUGAUCAGUUGAGGACUCUCUGAUGCAGGUUAUGAUCAGUUGAGGACUCUUUGCUGACAACAGCAGCCGUUAUUGUGUUACAUUACAUUUAUUAAUUUUGCAGACAAGAGGACCCUUUCUCUCAGUAACAGCACUGUUUAACCCUUUCCCUCAGUAACAGCACUGUUUAACCCUUUCCCUCAGUAACAGCACUGUUUAACCCUUUCCCUCAGUAACAGCACUGUUUAACCCUUUCCCUCAGUAACAGCACUUUUUAAAGCAAUAACUAUUAUUGGUGUUACAAAGAGACAGAGAAAGCGAUGGAGUGAGAGAGAUUGAGAAAGAGAGGGAGAGAGAUGCAGUGAGAGAGGGAGAGAGAGAUGCAGUGAAAGAGAGAGGGAGAGAGAUGCAGUAAGGGGGAGAGAGAGAUGCAUU
This is a long non-coding RNA of Osmerus eperlanus (European smelt), 511 nucleotides long. RefSeq lists it as uncharacterized. The record is from RefSeq and is a predicted model, not a curated record. Lineage: Eukaryota; Metazoa; Chordata; Actinopteri; Osmeriformes; Osmeridae. The transcript has 3 exons.